Molecule: ribosomal RNA, 450 nt
Filed under: uncultured bacterium
Lineage: Bacteria
Description: bacterial SSU rRNA
Rfam family: Bacterial small subunit ribosomal RNA
Source: RNAcentral
AGUGAACGCUGGCGGCGUGGAUUAGGCAUGCAAGUCGAGCGAUCUCGCAAGGGAUAGCGGCAAACGGGUGAGGAACACGUAAGUAAUCUUCCCCUUAUCUGGACAUAGCCCUAUGAAAAUAGGGGUAAUAUCCAAUGACACCAUGAGGUUGCAUAACUUUAUGUUAAAGACGGGGACCGCAAGGCCUGUCGAUAAGGGAUGAGCUUGCGUAGCAUCAGCUAGUUGGUAGGGUAACGGCCUACCAAGGCUAUGACGCUUAGCUGGUCUGAGAGGAUGGUCAGCCACACUGGGACUGAGACACUGCCCAGACUCCUACGGGAGGCUGCAGUCGAGAAUCUUUAGCAAUGGACGAAAGUCUGACUAUGCGACGCCGCGUGAGGGAGUGAAGGUUUUCGGUAUUACGUAAACCUCUUUUGGUCGAAGGGAAGAAAAUAACGCAUAUAAUAUAUG